GACGAACGCUGGCGGCGUGCUUAACACAUGCAAGUCGAACGAUGAAGAGGAGAAACGCGAACUUCGGUUCAAAUUUCACUUCGGAUUAGUGGCAGACGGGUGAGUAACGCGUGAGCAACCUACCUCUUACAAAGGGAUAGCCUCGGGAAACCGUGAUUAAUACCAUAUGACACAUUCAUAAGGCAUCUUAAGAAUGUUAAAGCUACGGCGGUAAGAGAUGGGCUCGCGUCCCAUUAGCUAGUUGGUGAGGUAACGGCCCACCAAGGCGACGAUGGGUAACCGGCCUGAGAGGGUGAACGGUCACAUUGGAACUGAGACACGGUCCAAACUCCUACGGGAGGCAGCAGUGGGGAAUAUUGCACAAUGGAGGGAACUCUGAUGCAGCGACGCCGCGUGAGCGAUGAAGGAAUUCGUUUCGUAAAGCUCUGUUCUAUGGGAAGAAAAGGACUGUACCAUAGGAGAAAGCCCCGGCUAAAUACGUG
RNAcentral lists this ribosomal RNA (482 nucleotides) under uncultured bacterium. Its description in RNAcentral is "partial 16S ribosomal RNA". It matches the Rfam family "Bacterial small subunit ribosomal RNA", at positions 28 to 507 of the family's 1533-position model. The record is from RNAcentral.